Long non-coding RNA from Bos taurus (domestic cattle), 622 nucleotides. The record is from Ensembl. Lineage: Eukaryota; Metazoa; Chordata; Mammalia; Artiodactyla; Bovidae.
CGGAGUCCAGGGACAGCACCCCCGAGAAGACCGUUGGGAUCUCCGGUCCGGUGGCGGCCCGCACGAACCACUCCUGCCUGGGGUCACCUGUCCCAGUGUUUGGGGCUCCGAUUCUAGUUGCAUUGACUAGCACCUCCAGACAAUAUUAAAUCAUUGGAGGAGAUGGGUGGACUUAGGUUCUGCCUAAGACUCAGAAAACCAGCAUGUUUUACUCACGGAAAUGUUCUCUUAAGCUAUGUUAAUGCAACUGUGUAUUUGCUUGGAAAUCUGCCUUUCUUCAAGAUUCAAGUCAAUUUUUUUUAAGGAAUUUAUUUGGUCGCAAGAGGUCUUCGUUGAGGCGUGUGGAAUCUAGUUCCCUGACCACGGACUGAACCUGGGCCCCCUGCAUUGGAAGCAUAGACUCUUAACCACUGGGCCACCAGGGAAGUCCCCAUGUCAACUGUUGUAUGGCCUGGGAUGACUCACCUUGUGCCAGUGUUAUCGCAAAAUGCAUGUUGUGGGUGAGGGGCCGGGUGCCACUCUGAGUUUUCAGACAUUUCCUUUUCUCUAAUUAGCAGCUUACUAAUAGGUAUAUAACUUCUUGCUGAAAACUAGCAAGUUAAUAAAACUUUAUUACACAAAA